This 83-nucleotide transfer RNA is filed under the name Colletotrichum orbiculare MAFF 240422. Its description in RNAcentral is "tRNA-Leu (TAG) (tRNA-Leu-TAG-1-1)". It matches the Rfam family "tRNA". From Rfam's summary of the family: Transfer RNA (tRNA) molecules are approximately 80 nucleotides in length. Their secondary structure includes four short double-helical elements and three loops (D, anti-codon, and T loops). The record is from RNAcentral. Lineage: Eukaryota; Fungi; Ascomycota; Sordariomycetes; Glomerellales; Glomerellaceae.
GGUGGAGUGGCCGAGCGGUCUUAAGGUGCUGGUUUUAGGCACCAGUGGGGCAACCCGCGCGAGUUCGAAUCUCGUCUCCAUCA